GGACUACCCGGGUAUCUAAUCCUGUUUGCUACCCACGCUUUCGCGCCUCAGCGUCAGGGGUUGGCCAGUAUGCUGCCUUCGCCAUGGGUGUUCCUCCCGAUAUCAACGCAUUUCACCGCUACACCGGGAAUUCCACAUACCUCUCCAACCCUCUAGUCUGCCAGUAUGCAGAGCAGUUUCCGGGUUGAGCCCUGGAGAUUUCACUCUACACUUAACAGACCGCCUACGCGCUCUUUACGCCCAGUAAAUCCGGACAACGCUUGCACCCUACGUCUUACCGCGGCUGCUGGCAC
This 293-nucleotide ribosomal RNA is filed under the name uncultured bacterium. RNAcentral describes it as "partial 16S ribosomal RNA". The record is from RNAcentral.